AAAUAAGAAACAAAUUAUUGUAUUUAGUUUCGACCUAAAAUUUUGAUGAUAUUAAAUUCAUCCUUAUUUU
This 70-nucleotide transfer RNA is filed under the name Eurysternus sp. KM-2017. Its description in RNAcentral is "tRNA-Arg". The record is from RNAcentral. Lineage: Eukaryota; Metazoa; Arthropoda; Insecta; Coleoptera; Scarabaeidae.